AUUUCAAACAAACAAUAAAAUUCUUAAAGAAAUAUUAGAAUGAUCACAAAUAUUAUUCAAAUAUAUGUCAAUUCAAUCUUAAUUUAAUUCUAGUUAAAAACCUAUUGAAUUUCACUCAAACUUUAGACCAAACCUAAUUAAAUCUUAAACCCUAAUAAAUCCUAAAUCCUAAGUCAAAUCCUAAACAAAUCUUAAAUUAAAUCCUAAACCAAACAUUAAAUCAAAUCUUAAUCCAAACCCUAAAUCAAAUCCUAACCAAAUUCUAAAUCAAAUCCAAACCCUAAUCCAAUCCUAAAUCCUAAUCAAAUCCUAAAUCCUAAUCCAAAUCCUAAUCCAAACCCUAAUCCAAAUCCUAAAUCAAAUCCUAAUCAAACUCUAAAUCCUAAUCCAAAUCCUAAUCCAAAUCCUAAAUCAAAUCCUAACCAAACCCUAAUCCAAAUCCUAAACUCUAAAUCAAAUCCUAAAUCGAACCCUAGCCAAACCCUAAUCCA
Molecule: long non-coding RNA, 491 nt
Filed under: Physcomitrium patens
Lineage: Eukaryota; Viridiplantae; Streptophyta; Bryopsida; Funariales; Funariaceae
Description: long non-coding RNA (PPAT_LNC009149)
Source: RNAcentral